RNAcentral lists this ribosomal RNA (467 nucleotides) under uncultured bacterium. Its description in RNAcentral is "partial 16S ribosomal RNA". It matches the Rfam family "Bacterial small subunit ribosomal RNA", at positions 28 to 523 of the family's 1533-position model. The record is from RNAcentral.
GACGAACGCUGGCGGCGUGCUUAACACAUGCAAGUCGAGCGAGAAACUUCGGUUUCUAGCGGCGGACGGGUGAGUAACACGUGGGCAACCUGCCUCACAAUGGGGGAUAGCCUUCCGAAAGGAAGAUUAAUACCGCAUAACACAAAGGGAACGCAUGUUUCUUUUGCCAAAGAAUUUCGUUGUGAGAUGGGCCCGCGGCGCAUUAGCUUGUUGGUGAGGUAACGGCUCACCAAGGCGACGAUGCGUAGCCGACCUGAGAGGGUGAUCGGCCACAUUGGAACUGAGACACGGUCCAGACUACUACGGGAGGCAGCAGUGGGGAAUAUUGCACAAUGGAGGAAACUCUGAUGCAGCAACGCCGCGUGAGUGAUGAAGGUCUUCGGAUUGUAAAGCUCUGUCUUCUGGGACGAUAAUGACGGUACCAGAGGAGGAAGCCACGGCUAACUACGUGCCAGCCGCCGCCGUAA